This is a non-coding RNA of Trichomonas vaginalis G3, 71 nucleotides long. The record is from the annotation of a RefSeq genome assembly. NCBI's taxonomy places the organism in Eukaryota, Parabasalia, Trichomonadida, Trichomonadidae.
GCCUGUGUAGCUCAACCGGAUAUAAUAGACUCUUAAACUUGGAGUUUCGGGUUCGAGUCCCUCCACUAGCU